AAUCAACGCUGGCGGCGUGCCUCAGACAUGCAAGUCGAACGCGAAAGUUCCCUUCGGGGGGCGAGUAGAGUGGCGCACGGGUGAGUAACACGUAGGUAAUCUACCUUUGGGUGGGAAUAACAGCCGGAAACGGCUGCUAAUACCGCAUAAUGCAGCGGCUCGACAUCGAGACAGUUGUUAAAGCGGGGGAUCGCAAGACCUCGCGCCUAAAGAGGAGCCUGCGGCGGAUUAGCUUGUUGGUGAGGUAAUGGCUCACCAAGGCAUCGAUCCGUAGCCGGCCUGAGAGGGCGGUCGGCCACACUGACACUGACAUACGGGUCAGACUCCUACGGGAGGCAGCAGUCGGGAAUUUUUGGGCAAUGGGCGCAAGCCUGACCCAGCAACGCCGCGUGAAGGAUGAAAUCCCUCGGGAUGUAAACUUCGCAAGAACAGGAAGAAUAA
This 441-nucleotide ribosomal RNA is filed under the name uncultured bacterium. RNAcentral describes it as "bacterial SSU rRNA". It matches the Rfam family "Bacterial small subunit ribosomal RNA", at positions 32 to 452 of the family's 1533-position model. The record is from RNAcentral.